UACGUAGGGUGCGAGCGUUGUCCGGAAUUACUGGGCGUAAAGGGAGCGUAGGCGGACUUUUAAGUGAGAUGUGAAAUACCCGGGCUCAACUUGGGUGCUGCAUUUCAAACUGGAAGUCUAGAGUGCAGGAGAGGAGAAUGGAAUUCCUAGUGUAGCGGUGAAAUGCGUAGAGAUUAGGAAGAACACAGUGGCGAAGGCGAUUCUCUGGACUGUAACUGACGCUGAGGCUCGAAAGCGUGGGGAGCAAACAGGAUUAGAUACCCCGGUAGUU
RNAcentral lists this ribosomal RNA (271 nucleotides) under uncultured prokaryote. RNAcentral's name for it is "partial 16S ribosomal RNA". It matches the Rfam family "Bacterial small subunit ribosomal RNA", at positions 524 to 795 of the family's 1533-position model. The record is from RNAcentral.